UACGUAGGGCGCAAGCGUUAUCCGGAAUUAUUGGGCGUAAAGAGCUCGUAGGCGGUUUGUCGCGUCUGCCGUGAAAGUCCGGGGCUCAACUCCGGAUCUGCGGUGGGUACGGGCAGACUAGAGUGAUGUAGGGGAGACUGGAAUUCCUGGUGUAGCGGUGAAAUGCGCAGAUAUCGGAAGGAACGCCGGUGGCGAAAGCGACGUGCUGGCCCUCUUCUGACGCUGAGGAGCGAAAGCGUGGGGAGCGAACAGG
Molecule: ribosomal RNA, 253 nt
Filed under: uncultured bacterium
Lineage: Bacteria
Description: partial 16S ribosomal RNA
Rfam family: Bacterial small subunit ribosomal RNA
Source: RNAcentral